Molecule: small RNA, 28 nt
Filed under: Bombyx mori (domestic silkworm)
Lineage: Eukaryota; Metazoa; Arthropoda; Insecta; Lepidoptera; Bombycidae
Description: ovarian small RNA-23713
Source: RNAcentral
UAUCGUCACAACCAGUGGCGGCCGGCGC